Long non-coding RNA from Rosa chinensis, 2674 nucleotides. RefSeq lists it as uncharacterized. The record is from RefSeq and is a predicted model, not a curated record. NCBI's taxonomy places the organism in Eukaryota, Viridiplantae, Streptophyta, Magnoliopsida, Rosales, Rosaceae. The transcript has 2 exons.
GAGAGAGAGAGAGAUGAGAGACGAGAUCUAUAACUUUUUUUUUUUUGUCAAAGAGAACAUGAACGAGCAGAUCUAUAACUUGAAGGUAGAUGGAUCCUUAACCAUGAAAGGUAUCUACUUCGAUUUUCUCAUUCAAUUAAAAAUGGGUUUCUCUGCAUGAUUCAAAUUUUUUCAAUUAUCUUCAUCUCUUUACUGAGUUAGAGAGAGAGAGAGAGAGAGAUAGAGGAGGUCAAGAUCGUGUCUUUGAUUCAAGGCAGAGGGACCUUUAUCCAGCAUUCAAAUUUGAACUUUGAUUUGCAACUUCAACCGUAUUUACUUCUUUACCUUGAAUUUCUCAAAUAUAUAUAUAUAUAUAUAUAUAUAUGUUUGCUAAUGAAUUUGCUGGAUUCAUGCCGAAUUCAGAAUGAAAUUCUUUUUAUGAUUCAAAUUUUUCUUUUGAUAUUUAUGUGUGAGUUAUUUUUUUUCUUUUCUUAAUUUGUGUUUUUGAUGCUAGUACUCGAUUACUACCAACCCUCAAUAGCUUUACUCGAUUACUAUUGAGUACUGAACCUCAGUGGUUUAUCCAAAAGUUGCCUAGGGAUUCUCUUAUGGUGAAUCGUUAAAAACAUGACAGCUAGAGUCAAAGGUUAGCUAAACUAACCACCUUUGGAAAAUUAUCAGCACAAAGGAAUUACACCAAUCAAUAGCUAUAAUACGCAUAUCGUUUUGUGAAAAGAAGAAUGGUAUGGUUUUGUGGUCUCUCAAUAAUCACAUUCCACAGUGAGUCCGUAAAAAGAACACAAGUUAACAAUCAAAAUUUGAGUAGGUCAGUUAUAUCUGACCUUCUCCCACUUUCAUCCACUUCAACAAAUGCAUGUAUAUCCAUGAGCAUUUACAAUAUGUCAAUAUAAACUUACCCCCUUAAUUUAGUUGGGACCAUAUAUAGGGGAGCAGGUCACCUAAUAGCAAAAGCUACAUGUCAAGUUUGCCAAUGAACUGAAAAUUUCUGUUGAAUGUUUUCAAGGCUAGCUAGAAAAAUCAAGACCCUUUAAAACCACACCAAUUUUUGGUUUCUGUUCAUUUCUUCAUUUUAGGUCAUCAUCAGUUGGGUUUCUAUCCAUUCAAGCAAAGUACAUGUAUCUUCUGGAAAAAAAAAAUAGCAAAGUACAUGCAUGUGACAUUUAUAUUCUAAACUACCCCAUUUAAUUGGGACGGGAAAUGUGUAACAAGUUGUUUAGUAGAAGAACAAGUUAAAUGCAAUUUUUGAUGCUAGGCUUUUAUGAAUAUGGAGCCCCAUUUCACCAAAAGGUACCUCUGUACCGUCCAGUUAUUGUAUAUAAUUGUAGUAGGAUGUAUAUAAUUGGACUUUUUAUAGAUGAAUAGUUUUUAAUUUGUUGUAUUCAUAUGUAUAGUUAAUGCAAUAUGUGUGUGUAUCAUGGGUUAAGAAUCAGAAAUUCACAAAUAAGUAUAUGUAAAGACCUUAAAGCAGAGUGGAGAGAGAGAGCGAGCUAGCUUGAGUUAACGAGAGAGGAUGAGAUUUCUAAAUAACUAGGGUAGGCUGGUUAAAAACUUUAUGCAUGUAUAAGAAAAACUUUUGUUGUAAAAAAAAAAAAAAACUGCAGAUAGUGGAUAGUUAUGUGCAGAGAAAAUAGAUUCAGUAGAUAAUUAUUUAUGGGGUUGGUAGUUCUCCCACGUAUUUAUUUAUCUUUCCUUUUUUUUUUCUUUUUUUUUUGUUUCUCUUGUAGUUUGACUAUACUAUCUCUAUAUAUUUUUGACUAACAAAGCCUAUUCUCUUAAUAAUAGUAUAGAUAGAUAGAUAUAUAGAUUUUAUGAGUAUGAAAGUUUAUUAAUAUUUCAGGGUUAUUUUGGUACCAUUUUUCAGUUUUGACUAACGAAACCCCUUCUGUUAAUAAUAGUAUAGAUAAAUUCAUUGAAUCGAAAUCCUUAAUAAAAAAAAGACAUGUGUCAAAUAGGCUACUUUGUAUUUGGGCUUCCGAAAUUAAAACCCUCAAGUCCAAAUCACCAUACUCAAACGGGGCCUUGGACUGCAUGACGCACUUGGAAUUGGGAUAAAGUGUUGGGCUCGUCGAAAUAAUUGAACGAAAGGCCCAACUAGAAAUUCGGUAACCUGAGCAGGUAUAUAAACUGUCUCAGUAGUCAAUCGAGAUCGAUCUCGCAAUAGAGAGAAUGUCGGGGUUGUCGAAGGUUUUGGCUCUCUCAAAGGAGGUUUUGGGUCUCUCAAGGGGCGUGCCCAUGGCCUUUUCUGAAAAGGCGGAUGCCGUUGUUGAGGCCGCAUGGCUUGCAUCUUUAGCCUACUUCGCAUACAACACGGCCCCGUUGUAUUAUGAAGCCUUCAAACUGAAAUUUCAGCUCCACAGGUUAACUCAGGAACAGAAGCGUCAAGCAUUCCGACCAAAGUCAACAUAAGACCUGAUCUAUAUUUAAUUUGGUUUACUACUCUUUGUGCAUGUUAUGUAAUGGAUAUUUGAGAUAGUCAUCCUAUUGCAUUCGACUAAAGGCAACAUAAGACCUGAUCUAUAUUUAAUUUAGUUUGCUACUCUUUGUGCAUGUUAUGUAAUGGAUAUGCUUGCCUUUUAGGAUGACUAUCUCUUGAUAGAGGUUUUAAGACAUUGCAAGGGCUUUGGCUACGUUUGUAUCUCGCUUAAUAAAAUUCUCAUUAAGAGUACGAGGUAAA